Molecule: long non-coding RNA, 278 nt
Filed under: Helianthus annuus (common sunflower)
Lineage: Eukaryota; Viridiplantae; Streptophyta; Magnoliopsida; Asterales; Asteraceae
Description: sRNA HanXRQr2_Chr03g0095051
Source: RNAcentral
GUAGUUGGGUGCGUGGUGGGUAUCGCGACCAGGAGGGGGAAAGAAAGGGUGAAACCCUACUUGUUCAAUCAAGGUCAAAAUUCAGCAAAUUAAUGGUGGUUCUUGACACAAAUCGAAUGCAUGAGACUGGAUACAACUUAAUCUAAGUAUAUUGAUCAUAAGGAUUUGAAAGAAAUAUGAUAAUAGGAAUCACAUUAGCAAGGACUCGAAAACGGAAGGUUAACGGGUCAAGCAGAGGCGAGGAAACAAGCGUGAACACUAACGCUCGAGGUAAGUGA